UGCGGGAUAUUGGUCAAUGGACGCAAGUCUGAACCAGCCAUGCCGCGUGCAGGAAGACGGCUCUAUGAGUUGUAAACUGCUUUUGUACUAGGGUAAACGCUCUUACGUGUAGGAGCCUGAAAGUAUAGUACGAAUAGGAUCGGCUAACUCCGUGCCAGCAGGCGCGGUAAAAAGGAGGAACCAAGCGUUAUCCGGAUUUACUGGGCGUAAAGCGUGUGCAGGUGGUUUGGUAAGUUGGAUGUGAAAACUCCUGGCUUAACUGGGAGAGGUCGUUCAAUACUGCCAGACUUGAGAGUGAGAGAGGGAGGUGGAAUUCCGGGUGUAGUGGUGAAAUGCGUCGAUAUCCGGAGGAACACCAGUGGCGAAAGCGGCCUCCUGGCUCAUUUCUGACACUCAUACACGAAAGCUAGGGUAGCAAACG
RNAcentral lists this ribosomal RNA (421 nucleotides) under uncultured prokaryote. RNAcentral's name for it is "bacterial SSU rRNA". It matches the Rfam family "Bacterial small subunit ribosomal RNA", at positions 355 to 774 of the family's 1533-position model. The record is from RNAcentral.